AUGACCUCCUUGGUGGUCUACACUGCCACGGCCCUCGUCAUCCCUCCCGACAUUUUAAGCAACAUCACCAGGCUGGAGUGUGCCUUCUUCUGGUCGGGGUCUAGCAAAACGACCGGGUCCAAAUGUAAAGUCAACUGGGAAAGCGUCUGUAGGCCUAAGGAGUGUGGCGGCCUUGGUGUGCUCAAUCUUGCGAAUUUUUGCCAAGCACUCAGACUCCGCUGGUUGUGGCUCGAGUGGACGGACCCUUCUCGCUUGUGGGUUGGGCUUGGAAAUCCAUGCGACAAGGACGACAAAGCUUUUUUCUACGCCUCCACUACUAUCACGAUUGGGGAUGGGGCGCGCGCCCCUUUUUGGGAGUCCCCAUGGCUCAAUGGGAGGAAACCAAAAGAUAUUGCCCCGCUUAUUUUUGACGCCUCCAAGAGGAAAACCUGGAAGGCCAGGGAGGCAUUAUCACAGAUUGUCUGGAUCACCAAGAUCAAUAUGACGAUAAUAUUCACACUCGAGCACAUUCGGCAAUUCCUGGAUCUUUGGAUCCUCCUUCGCGGAGUGCAGCUACAAGUGGGCGUGGAGGAUACCAUUUUGUGGAAACACACGGCCUGUAGGAGCUACUCGGCGUCUUCGGCUUAUAACGUGCCCUACUUGACAAUCACCCGUUCUGCCAUGUACAAGGUGGUCUGGACAGCCUGGGCCCCCCCCGAAAGUAAAAUUUCUUGCAUGGCUUGCCAUCCAAGACAGGUUAUGGACAUCCGUUCGCUUGGCCAAGCGAGGGUGGCCAAACAGUGGCCCAUGCACCUUCUGUAG
Molecule: ribosomal RNA, 801 nt
Filed under: Triticum aestivum (bread wheat)
Lineage: Eukaryota; Viridiplantae; Streptophyta; Magnoliopsida; Poales; Poaceae
Description: partial small subunit ribosomal RNA
Source: RNAcentral